GACGAACGCUGGCGGCGUGCUUAACACAUGCAAGUCGAACGGAAAGGCCCUGCUUUUGUGGGGUGCUCGAGUGGCGAACGGGUGAGUAACACGUGAGUAACCUGCCCUUGACUUUGGGAUAACUUCAGGAAACUGGGGCUAAUACCGGAUAGGAGCUCCUGCUGAAUGGUGGGGGUUGGAAAGUUUCGGCGGUUGGGGAUGGACUCGCGGGUUAUCAGCUUGUUGGUGGGGUAGUGGCUUACCAAGGCUUUGACGGGUAGCCGGCCUGAGAGGGUGACCGGCCACAUUGGGACUGAGAUACGGCCCAGACUCCGACGGGAGGCAGCAGUGGGGAAUAAUGCACGAUGGGCGGAAGCCUGAUGCAGGCACGCCGCGUGCGGGAUGACGGCCUUCGGGUUUUAAACCGCUUUCGCCUGUGACGAAGCGUGAGUGAAGGUAAUGUGUAAAGAAGCACCGGCUAACUCCGUG
Molecule: ribosomal RNA, 468 nt
Filed under: uncultured bacterium
Lineage: Bacteria
Description: partial 16S ribosomal RNA
Rfam family: Bacterial small subunit ribosomal RNA
Source: RNAcentral